CCUACGGGUGGCAGCAGUGGGGAAUAUUGCACAAUGGGGGAAACCCUGAUGCAGCGACGCCGCGUGAGUGAAGAAGUAAUUCGUUAUGUAAAGCUCUAUCAGCAGGGAAGAAAAUGACGGUACCUGAGUAAGAAGCCCCGGCUAACUACGUGCCAGCAGCCGCGGUAAUACGUAGGGGGCAAGCGUUAUCCGGAUUUACUGGGUGUAAAGGGAGCGUAGACGGCAGGGCAAGUCUGGAGUGAAAGGCAGGGGCUCAACCCCGGGACUGCUUUGGAAACUGUACGGCUGGAGUGCUGGAGAGGUAAGUGGAAUUCCUAGUGUAGCGGUGAAAUGCGUAGAUAUUAGGAAGAACACCAGUGGCGAAGGCGGCUUGCUGGACUGUAACUGACGUUGAGGCUCGAAAGCGUGGGGAGCAAACAGGAUUAGAUACCCCAGUAGUC
RNAcentral lists this ribosomal RNA (440 nucleotides) under uncultured bacterium. RNAcentral's name for it is "partial 16S ribosomal RNA". It matches the Rfam family "Bacterial small subunit ribosomal RNA", at positions 338 to 795 of the family's 1533-position model. The record is from RNAcentral.